AAAAAUCCUAACCCUAUUCCUUUAAUUCACGUUGCAAGUAAAGGGAAAAUCUUUGGAGUCUUUGUUGAAGGAUUCUGUGGCUGCUAUUUGUGAAAAAGCGAGAAGGAGGAAGAAAAUCAUGGAUCUGCCAUUCCAUUCGAGUGAAGCUAAAGGUGUUGGAAGAUAUUUAAAUGAGAGAGAUAGAAGUGAUUGAUUGAAGGGAGCCAUAUGGAUUGCUUGCGAUGACAAGUUUGGUAUUUCUACACGAGUACUGUGAAUAAGAACUCAGGUGGUAUUGAAGAGGAUUUCAUUAACUAGAAAGUGUGAUUUGGUAGCACCUGGUGAGCCUCGCAUUGCUUCGCGUGGCAAGAGAACUAUUGAUUUGCUAUGGUGUGUCAAUUCAAAAGUGGGCAAGUAAUUGGGACAGAGGGAGUAUUAGAUUCUCAUUGAAGAACAACCCUGCAUCUAACUUCCAGUUCUAGUUUAAUUUGCAUUGUUCCAUGGGUCGCACUAAGCUUGUGAUGAAGAAAAUUGAGGAUCCAACAUCCCGUCAACAGUUCUAUUCAAAGCGCAAGGAUACCAUUCUUAAGAAGUCAAAUGAGUUGGCUGUUUUAUGUGAUGUUGAUGUUGGUCUUCUAAUGUUUUCUCCAGCGGGUGAAGUGACCAGCUAUUCUAGCAAAGAAAGUCUUGAGGAUGUCAUGCUCCUUGCUAUGAACAAGGCUGGCGAACUGAACAAGCGAUCUCCUGAAAAUCCAAAUGAACAGCCUUUGACGGAGAUUCUCACACAAUCAAAACAUGAAGGCAAAAUGGUGGAAAAGAUAGCGAUGUAUACCACUCUCCUCUUGCACUCUGUGUGUAUAUGUAUUAGUCUAUUAGUUUGUUAGAGUAGAUACAUGACUUCUCAAGUUUAUUUCUUUUGCUUUUUGUAUGGUAUUUUCUACAUGAUUGAAUAACUUUUGUCUCUUUUGUUGGGUAUUUUUACAAUGCUGAUGAUUGAUCAACGUGCUUUAGUGUUGAGAGCCAUGAGGAGAAGCUUAAUAAGCUUAAAGAAAGGCUAAGUGAAGCACAACAGAAAAUAAGGUAUUACGAACCACAAGUGGAGAAUAUCAACUCUGUCCAAGAAGCUGAUGCAUAUGAGAAGUUCAUUAGGAGUGCUAUGGAACUAAUUCAACUAUCAAAAGCAAAACUCUUGGGUGGCCAGGAAUUUCUCCAGAGAAAUGAAAAUGUUGCGGUGUCUUCUGUCAACGCAGAGGAUAUGGCUGCUGCAGGAACCAGUAGGGGACGGAUGUAUUGAGGAAACAGGGCCGGAUCGCGGCGGGGAAGUAGCUGCGAGUGUCCAACAGCUGCAACAGGAAUUAUGUUAUACUAGUUUAUAGGUUAAGAACUUGGUAGAAUAAAUAACUUGCCCCUAUCAGGCAAGCAAAAGUAUGAAUAAUGUUGCAUUUGUCUAUUGUGAAUGCAACUUUUAGAGUUCUUGUAUGGCAUCAAAACAUAGGUAUUGUGUUUUGAAAUAGAAAACAAUUUGGUUUGGUUUCGAUAAUUUUUUGCAUCCUUCUAGUUCAU
Molecule: RNA transcript, 1542 nt
Organism: Solanum stenotomum
Lineage: Eukaryota; Viridiplantae; Streptophyta; Magnoliopsida; Solanales; Solanaceae
Gene name: agamous-like MADS-box protein AGL104
Exons: 13
Source: RefSeq, a predicted model, not a curated record